This 429-nucleotide ribosomal RNA is filed under the name bacterium. RNAcentral's name for it is "partial 16S ribosomal RNA". It matches the Rfam family "Bacterial small subunit ribosomal RNA", at positions 355 to 776 of the family's 1533-position model. The record is from RNAcentral.
UAGGGAAUCUUCGGCAAUGGGGGCAACCCUGACCGAGCAACGCCGCGUGAGUGAAGAAGGUUUUCGGAUCGUAAAGCUCUGUUGUAAGAGAAGAACGUGUGUGAGAGUGGAAAGUUCACACAGUGACGGUAACUUACCAGAAAGGGACGGCUAACUACGUGCCAGCAGCCGCGGUAAUACGUAGGUCCCGAGCGUUGUCCGGAUUUAUUGGGCGUAAAGCGAGCGCAGGCGGUUUAAUAAGUCUGAAGUUAAAGGCAGUGGCUUAACCAUUGUUCGCUUUAGAAACUGUUAAACUUGAGUGCAGAAGGGGAGAGUGGAAUUCCAUGUGUAGCGGUGAAAUGCGUAGAUAUAUGGAGGAACACCGGUGGCGAAAGCGGCUCUCUGGUCUGUAACUGACGCUGAGGCUCGAAAGCGUGGGGAGCAAACAGG